CGCGGGGGCUUGGCGGGCCCAGGAGGGCCCCGGUUCCCGCCAGAGGGUCCCACAGGGCCCUGCGCCUGCCAAAGGGCUCCGCGGGGCCGUGGGAGCCGCUCCUGACGUGGCCGGCCCUGCUCGGGGCUGAGAGAGGCCCCGGCGUGAGGGGAUCCUGCCCGGGGACACCCAGGCCCGCCGGUGCCUCUGAGCCUCCCUGUUUCUUUGGGGCACUACACAAAUAACCCGGCGCUGCCCCACAGGCUGAGGGAGAAGGACAGCGGUAGUGAGGUAACAUGGACCCCGCAGCCCCGGGGCUGGACCGGGGGCUGGGGCGGACCCUCAGAGGCCGAAGGGACUGCCAGUGGUGACGGCAGGGAUCAAGCGUGGCCAAAAAACUCACGGCACUGUUAUGGGGAAGAAAGCCCCUUUGCCCAACAAACGUUUUACAGAAAACUCAGUUUCUCAUGACGAGCCCCUUUCACUGUCCGAUGGAACCCGAUUGUGUGACAAACGGAGUUUAUAAAUGGAACUGGGGAUUCCCGGGCGAGGGUCGUUGGCGGGGCAGCAGCUGCGGAGCUGAUGGGCCCCACACAGCGCAGCCCUGCCCGGGUUGGGGCCGGAGCCCGGGCCCCUCAGCGCGGCUGCACCCGGCGCGGUCACUGUCCCCACGGCCAUCGGUUACCGCUCCUCAGUUUCCCUCCAGCAGCGGGCGGGGUGGAGGGCACCGCACAGUCCUGCCGGGGGGGCUCAGGGGUCCCAGCCCCACGCCCACCCUGCUCCAGCCGGAGGUACGGGCUGGGGGAGGGAGGCACCUGUUACUGGUUCCCCCGCCUGUCCCGAGCGCCGUUCCAGUUUCCCUGCAUUGGGCAGGGCCGAGCUGCACCGCACAGCUGCAGCUGCCGGGGACGUUCAGGGUGCCGCCGGCCCCUCAUCCCGCACCUGUCCCGGCCAACAACUGCCCCAGACUGGGCCCCUCCGGGCUCCAUCCAGCUGACAUCCCCGGCUGUCCUCGGGGCCCCUCCAGCUGUCCCCAGCUCCCCCGACCCCCGGGUCCGGCCGAGGGGGGAGCCGGAGCAGCUGCGGGAAUAUCUGGGCCGGGGCUUCGGGGGUCGCAGCAGGCCCCGGAGCGGUGACAGUGACGGCGGCGGCGGCUCAUGCGCAGGCGGGUCCCCGCGUGUCCUCAGAUGAGCCCGAGCCCGCAGGGAGCCGCAGCGCGGGGGGCGGGGGCUGCGGCACUGCCGGUGGGGACACGGCACCGCGGGGACACGGCAGAUUCCCGGUACACACACGGGCACCGCGGGGACACGGCACCGCGGGGACACGGCACAUCCCCGCUACACACACCUGCACGUGUGGCACAGCCGUGUGAUGGCACGCACACCUGACACACCGUGCACUCGUGUGUGUGGCACACAUCCCUGUCCCAUCUGUGCACACACACACCUGUGCACGCACCUGCCUGAGCUAUGGCACCGCACACGCGCCACGCCAAACCCUCCCAGCCUUACACCCGCACACGGCAAGCCGCCAUGUGAUGGUACACACGCCUUACACACACUUUACACACACACACCCACAGGAGGCAGCCAUGUGAUGGCACAAAUGCCUUAUAGUCUCUUUACACUCACCUUACACACACCCACACACACAUUAUUCCUGUGCACACACCAGCCUGAGCUGUGACACAACGUGUCUAAGCCACGCCAAACCUUCUCCCUCCCCACCGUACUGGUACCUCACACUCCUCUGAGUCAGAUGAUCCCCUCGGGACAAGAUGGGGGACCCAACGUUCCCUGUUUGUGUCCCCGCCACCUUCACAUGUCCCUGUAGAGCUGCAGGGUGACCACCCCACCCCUCACCACAGUGGUGACACCACCUCCACUCUCCAGAGCCUCCCACGGCACCCCCAAGGAGCAAGUCAGGCCCAGGCUCGUUUUCAUUCACUUUUCCGCAUACUUUAUUUGUUACAAACAUACAAUUCUUUAAAUAUAGACUGUAAAACUCCAUUUGCAAAAAUCUGCUACGUCAGGAGUGCUCGGAGCAGGAGGAGUUCGUCGCGUCGGCCUCAUCUGCGCUAGUGGUAACACCCAGGACCUGCCUCCGGCCCCUGGAGCCGCCCCGCCGGCUGCAGGGAAGGGACACGGGGGCCCCGGUCCCCCCGGCUGCCUAAAGUGCAGGGACAUCAUGGCGAGCGCUCGGGGAGGGAGGUGGCGCUCCUGGGAUCUGCUGCUCUGAGGAGGAUCCGGUGCUCGGAGGAGGAUCCGACAUUCAUAGGAUCCAGUUGUCAGAGGAUCCAGCUCUCCGAGGAGGAUCUGCUGCUUGGAGAAGAACCCAGCUCAAAGAGCAGGGUCCAGUGUUUGGAGGAUCCAGCUCUCAGAGGAUCCAACUCAGAAGAUCCAGCUUUUGGAUACAAUUCUUGGAGGACCCAGCUGUCAGAGAAUCCAAGUCUGGGAGCGCCUGGCUCUUGGAGGAGGAUCCAGUGCUCUCCCCUCUGAUGCUGUCCCAGCCUCCUGGCUGGGCUGACCCGUGUGCUGGGGCCUGGUGAGCCACCUGUGCUGGACCAGCUGCCUCUCAGCUGCUGCUCCGAGGCCAGAGCCCCCUGGGGCCGCUGUUGUGGGGCUGAACCCCGGGGGCUGCGGGCUGUGCCGUGCUCCUUCCUGGCUGUCCUGCCUGGAUCUGGGUUCUCCUGCCAACACCCAACCCCGGCUCCGUGUGGCUUGGCUCCAGUGCCGCUGGCUCUACCGGCUCCGCGAGGAUAAGGAGGGCGAUGGCACCUGUGGCCUCGCCCUGCAGGAACAUCUGGGAGCAUCCAUGAAGGCAGCUGGGAUUUCCCACUGGGAACACCUACUGAGCUCCGUGGUGCACCACCCUGCGUACCCCCAGUGCUCUCUCAGCUGCUUUUUUUUAUCUUUUCCAGUUUUUUUGCGUUUUUUUUUCCACUUUUUGCUUUUUUAUGAGAGGCCAGUGAGGGGUUGGGUUGGUUUUGUCACCAACAUGAGGAGCCGCCACUGGCACUGCCCCCCAAACCAUCCUACACUGCUCCCGAAUCGCCUGGAAACAGGCAGGAGAAUCCGAAUUUUCUUCCAUGUUUUUUAGGGCAAAACGAAUUGAAGCUGUUUGCACUUGCCCUGGAAGCACCACCCACUCCAGACCCAGCCAUUUGGGGUAUUUUCCACUGGGUUUUGGGGCAUUGUACAAGACUUCCAAUAUUCUGUCUGUACAGCCAUCAUCGCGUUCUCCAUCAACCCCUCUGGGGCAGCAAAGCUGGAAGUACCAGGAAUUUGGGAUAUUUUUCCCCUAUUUGUGGUUUAAAAAUAAAAUAAAAAAAAAAAAAAAGCAAUUUGCCCAUUUUCUACAGAAUUCAACCCAAAACCCAACCGAAUCUGAGCUAUGUACACACAGCCAUGUCUAUACACACAGAGAUGGGAAGGGGCUUCAGGGGAGAUGCCGGCGUUGUCCUGCUUUCCUGGGAAACACCCAACGGCUCCUGGGGGACUCCAAGAGAAAAACAACCCCAAACUUCUCCCCCAAGAUCCCCUCCCCCAUGGCAGCCCCCCUGGCCGCUCCCCUUGUUUCAGCUGGCACCUCAAAUCCCCUAUUUUCCCUAUUUUAUCUCAUUUUGUCUGUUUUUUCUGCUGUCUUCCCCCGACGUGCUCUGCUCUUCCCACCCAAAUGGAGCUGUGGGAGGUUCUGUCCAUGGAUCCAGCACUUCUCUGGCCAGGAAAGACUCCCUGAGCCAACGCCGGGAGCUUUUUUGGGUUU
This is a long non-coding RNA of Parus major (Great Tit), 3744 nucleotides long. RefSeq lists it as uncharacterized. The record is from RefSeq and is a predicted model, not a curated record. The transcript has 2 exons. Lineage: Eukaryota; Metazoa; Chordata; Aves; Passeriformes; Paridae.